GGCGCAUUAGCUAGUUGGUGAGGUAAUGGCUCACCAAGGCAACGAUGCGUAGCCGACCUGAGAGGGUGAUCGGCCACACUGGGACUGAGACACGGCCCAGACUCCUACGGGAGGCAGCAGUAGGGAAUCUUCCGCAAUGGACGAAAGUCUGACGGAGCAACGCCGCGUGAGUGAUGAAGGUUUUCGGAUCGUAAAGCUCUGUUGUUAGGGAAGAACAAGUACCGUUCGAAUAGGGCGGUACCUUGACGGUACCUAACCAGAAAGCCACGGCUAACUACGUGCCAGCAGCCGCGGUAAUACGUAGGUGGCAAGCGUUGUCCGGAAUUAUUGGGCGUAAAGGGCUCGCAGGCGGUUCCUUAAGUCUGAUGUGAAAGCCCCCGGCUCAACCGGGGAGGGUCAUUGGAAACUGGGGAACUUGAGUGCAGAAGAGGAGAGUGGAAUUCCACGUGUAGCGGUGAAAUGCGUAGAGAUGUGGAGGAACACCAGUGGCGAAGGCGACUCUCUGGUCUGUAACUGACGCUGAGGAGCGAAAGCGUGGGGAGCGAACAGGAUUAGAUACCCUGGUAGUCCACGCCGUAAACGAUGAGUGCUAAGUGUUAG
RNAcentral lists this ribosomal RNA (600 nucleotides) under Bacillus sp. (in: firmicutes). RNAcentral describes it as "bacterial SSU rRNA". It matches the Rfam family "Bacterial small subunit ribosomal RNA", at positions 235 to 826 of the family's 1533-position model. Lineage: Bacteria; Bacillati; Bacillota; Bacilli; Caryophanales; Bacillaceae. The record is from RNAcentral.